UACGUAGGGGGCAAGCGUUAUCCGGAAUCAUUGGGCGUAAAGCGCGUGUAGGCGGUUCCGUAAGUCCGCUCUGAAAGCCCCAGGGCUCAACCCUGGGAGGCGGGUGGAUACUACGGAACUGGAGUACGGAAGAGGAGAUUGGAAUUCCUGGUGUAGCGGUGAAAUGCGCAGAUAUCGGGAGGAACACCAAUGGCGAAGGCAGCUCGCUGGGACGUGACUGACGCUGAGACGCGAAAGCGUGGGGAGCAAACAGG
Molecule: ribosomal RNA, 254 nt
Filed under: uncultured bacterium
Lineage: Bacteria
Description: partial 16S ribosomal RNA
Rfam family: Bacterial small subunit ribosomal RNA
Source: RNAcentral